UGUUAAAAGGUGGGGAGUCUCCAAGCAGACAGGCUCCGUCAUGCUAAAGGUGGGAGAACUGGAUUUCCUGGCUUCCACCACAGUUCCAAGGGUUUCACGUGCUGGGCACAGCAACCUCCCGGUAACCGACCAGCUCUUCGAGGAUCCCCUGUUUCCCUGCAGCGCUGGAUGCGGCGGAGACACGUCAGUUAAUAAGCCAAACGCCACCACAACCCUCACUCUUGCCAUCACCACGAUCAAAAACUCUCAAGGGACUCUGUCUCUCGCCCAGUGGUCCUUAAACGGUGGUCCCAGGCCAGGAGCGUCGGCCCACCCAGGAACUUAUUGGAAACACAGGCUCUCUGGCGCUACCCCGGACCCACGGCGUCAGAAACACUGGGAACGGCAGCCAGAACUCUGUUUCGAACAAGCUCUCUGGGGAUUCUGAUGUGUGCACGAGGGUGAGAAUUUAUCCAGCCACCGCGGGAGGCAGGACAGGUUAUAACAGACCAUGGAGGAGGCCGCCCCGGGCUCUACACCAGGUCCGUGUUAAUCUACCGUUAGUU
This is a long non-coding RNA of Phacochoerus africanus (Common warthog), 545 nucleotides long. RefSeq lists it as uncharacterized. The transcript has 3 exons. NCBI's taxonomy places the organism in Eukaryota, Metazoa, Chordata, Mammalia, Artiodactyla, Suidae. The record is from RefSeq and is a predicted model, not a curated record.